Molecule: ribosomal RNA, 497 nt
Filed under: uncultured bacterium
Lineage: Bacteria
Description: partial 16S ribosomal RNA
Rfam family: Bacterial small subunit ribosomal RNA
Source: RNAcentral
GAUGAACGCUGGCGGCGUGCCUAAUACAUGCAGGUCGAGCGAACAGACGAGGAGCUUGCUCCUCUGACGUUAGCGGCGGACGGGUGAGUAACACGUGGAUAACCUACCUAUAAGACUGGGAUAACUUCGGGAAACCGGAGCUAAUACCGGAUAAUAUAUUGAACCGCAUGGUUCAAUAGUGAAAGACGGUUUUGCUGUCACUUAUAGAUGGAUCCGCGCCGCAUUAGCUAGUUUGUAAGGUAACGGCUUACCAAGGCAACGAUGCGUAGCCGACCUGAGAGGGUGAUCGGCCACACUGGAACUGAGACACGGUCCAGACUCCUACGGGAGGCAGCAGUAGGGAAUCUUCCGCAAUGGGCGAAAGCUUGACGGAGCAACGCCGCGUGAGUGAUGAAGGUCUUCGGAUCGUAAAACUCUGUUAUUAGGGAAGAACAAAUGUGUAAGUAACUAUGCACGUCUUGACGGUACCUAAUCAGAAAGCCACGGCUAACUACGUG